UACGGAGGGGGCAAGCGUUAUCCGGAAUUAUUGGGCGUAAAGCGUCCGCAGGUGGCACCUCAAGUCUGCUGUCAAAGACCGGGGCUUAACCCCAGAAAGGCAGUGGAAACUGAAGUGCUAGAGUGCAGUAGGGGUAGAGGGAAUUCCCGGUGUAGCGGUGAAAUGCGUAGAGAUCGGGAAGAACAUCGGUGGCGAAAGCGCUCUGCUGGACUGCAACUGACACUCAGGGACGAAAGCGAGGGGAGCGAAUGGG
This 253-nucleotide ribosomal RNA is filed under the name uncultured bacterium. RNAcentral describes it as "partial 16S ribosomal RNA". It matches the Rfam family "Bacterial small subunit ribosomal RNA", at positions 524 to 776 of the family's 1533-position model. The record is from RNAcentral.